RNAcentral lists this ribosomal RNA (629 nucleotides) under Cystobasidiopsis lactophilus. Its description in RNAcentral is "LSU rRNA". It matches the Rfam family "Eukaryotic large subunit ribosomal RNA", at positions 34 to 651 of the family's 3401-position model. The record is from RNAcentral. Lineage: Eukaryota; Fungi; Basidiomycota; Agaricostilbomycetes; Agaricostilbales; Chionosphaeraceae.
UUAAGCAUAUCAAUAAGCGGAGGAAAAGAAACUAACAAGGAUUCCCCUAGUAACGGCGAGUGAAGUGGGAAAAGCUCAACUUUGUAAUCUGGCUCUUUCAGAGUCCGAGUUGUAGUCUCGAGAAGCAUCAUCCGCGCCGGACCUUGGAUAUGUCUGUUGGAAAACAGCGUCAUAGAGGGUGACAAUCCCGUUUGUGCCAAGGACGCCCGUGUGCAUUGCGGUGUGCUUUCUAAGAGUCGAGUUGUUUGGGAAUGCAGCUCAAAUUGGGUGGUAAAUUCCAUCUAAAGCUAAAUAUUGGCGAGAGACCGAUAGCGAACAAGUACCGUGAGGGAAAGAUGAAAAGCACUUUGGAAAGAGAAUGAAACAGUAUGUGAAAUUGCUGGAAGGGAAACGUUUGAAGUUAGACUUGCUUUUGUCACAUUCAGCCUUUUAGGUGUACUUGUGGCUUGUGCAGGCCAGCAUCGGUUUGCUUUGCGGUAUAAGGGUGCAUGGGAUGUAGCUGCCUCGGCAGUGUUAUAAACUUGCACUGGAUGCCGAAUCGCAGACCGAGGUUCGCAGCGCGCCUUUUUUGGCAAUGGGCUUGCCCAUCGAGCGCUUAGGAUGCUGGUAGAAUAGCUUUAACCGACCCG